RNAcentral lists this ribosomal RNA (2904 nucleotides) under freshwater metagenome. Its description in RNAcentral is "bacterial LSU rRNA". It matches the Rfam family "Bacterial large subunit ribosomal RNA". The record is from RNAcentral.
AGAAGUGAAUAAGGGCGAAUGGUGGAUGCCUUGGCUCUCAGAGGCGAAGAAGGACGUGACAAGCUGCGAUAAGCUUCGGGUAGCUGCAAAUAAGCAUUAAUCCGGAGAUUUCCGAAUGGGGCAACCCAUCCUGCUGCGUGCAGGAUAUCCCGUAAAAGGGAGGCGAACGUGGGGAACUGAAACAUCUAAGUACCCAUAGGAGAAGAAAACAAUAGUGAUUCCGCAAGUAGUGGCGAGCGAACGCGGAGUAGCCCAAACCAGAUUUGUUACGGCAGAUUUGGGGUUAUAGGACUUGCGAUAAUGGAGAUACGAUUUUAGUGGAGAUACCUGGAAAGGUAUGCCAUAGACGGUGAUAGCCCGGUACACAAAAAGAUAAGUAUUUUUAAGCGAGUAUCCUGAGUAGCGCGGGACCGGAGGAAUCCUGUGUGAAUUAGCCGGCACCAUCCGGCAAGGCUAAAUACUCCUGAGAGACCGAUAGUGAACCAGUACCGUGAGGGAAAGGUGAAAAGUACCCCGAACAGGGGGGUGAAAUAGACCCUGAAACCAUUCGCUUACAAGCGGUCGGAGUCUUGCUUUAUAGUAGGAUGACGGCGUGCCUUUUGCAUAAUGAGCCUACGAGUUACACUUCAGUGGCGAGGUUAAUCCUUUUAGAGGGGAGCAGCCGUAGCGAAAGCGAGUUUUAACAGAGCGCUUAGUCACUGGGGGUAUACGCGAAACUUAGUGAUCUACCCAUUGCCAGGCUGAAGUUGUGGUAACACACCAUGGAGGGCCGAACCGGUAAACGUUGAAAAGUUUUCGGAUGAGCUGUGGGUAGGGGUGAAAGGCUAAUCAAACUGAGAGAUAGCUCGUACUCCCCGAAAUGCCUUUAGGGGCAGCCUUGCGAGGAGUGUCAUGGAGGUAGAGCUACUGAUAGGACUAGGGGGCUUCACCGCCUACCAAAUUCUGACAAACUCCGAAUGCCAUGACAUGCUCCGCAGGAGUGAGGGCAAGGGUGCUAAGGUCCUUGUCCGAGAGGGAAAGAACCCAGAUCAUCCGCUAAGGUCCCCAAAUAUAUGCUAAGUUGCAAAAACGCGGUCUGAUUGCAUAGACAGCUAGGAUGUUGGCUUGGAAGCAGCCAUUCAUUUAAAGAGUGCGUAACAGCUCACUAGUCGAGCGAUCGGGCAUGGAUAAUAAACGGGCAUAAGCAUAUUACCGAAGCGAUGGAUUCAUACUUUAGAAGUAUGAUUGGUAGGGGAGCAUUCCAAUAAGCGUAGAAUGAGAAUCGUGAGGUUCUCUGGAGCGAUUGGAAGCGCAAAUGUAGGCAUAAGUAACGAUAAUGCGGGCGAGAAACCCGCACACCGAAAAGCCAAGGUUUCCUGAUCAACGCUAAUCGGAUCAGGGUUAGUCGGGUCCUAAGGAUAAGCCGCAAGGCGUCUUCGAUGGACAACAGGUUAAUAUUCCUGUACCGGCAUAUAUGGCGAUGGGGUGACGGAGAGGUGACAGGUCUGCGCACUGACGGAAUAGUGCGUUAAAGGGAGUAGAUAUAUUUUUGGCAGGCAAAUCCGCCAGGGAUGUCGAACCUGAUAGUACCGAGCGCAUUCGUGCAAUCGGAUAAUGACCGUAAUCUGGCUUCCGAGAAAACCCUCUAAGCAUUCAACAUAUAUGUUGCCCGUACCGUAAACCGACACAGGUGGCUGGGGAGAGAAUCCUAAGGUGCUCGAGUGAUUCAUGGCUAAGGAACUAGGCAAAAAAGUGCUGUAACUUCGGGAUAAAGCACUCCUGCAGCGAUGCAGGACGCAGUGAAUAUGCCCAGGCGACUGUUUAACAAAAACACAUGGCUUUGCGAAUUUGAAAGAAGAAGUAUAAGGCCUGACACCUGCCCGGUGCCGGAAGGUUAAGAGGAGAUGUUAGUGGGAAACUGCGACGCAUUGAAUUGAAGCCCCGGUAAACGGCGGCCGUAACUAUAACGGUCCUAAGGUAGCGAAAUUCCUUGUCGGGUAAGUUCCGACCUGCACGAAUGGUGUAACGAUCUGGGCGCUGUCUCGGCCAUGAGCUCGGUGAAAUUGAAGUAACGGUGAAGAUACCGUUUACCCGCAACGGGACGGAAAGACCCCGUGAACCUUCACUACAACUUAACAUUGACUUUGGAUAAACCAUGUGUAGGAUAGGUGGGAGGCUGUGAAUUGGGGGCGCUAGUUCUCAAGGAGCCGUUGUUGAAAUACCACCCUUGGUUUCUUUGGAGCCUAAUCUUGCUAAGAGCGAGAGACAUUGUUUGGUGGGUAGUUUGACUGGGGUGGUCGCCUCCAAAAGCGUAACGGAGGCUUUCAAAGGUACCCUCAGCACGCUUGGUAACCGUGCGUUGCGUGCAAUGGCACAAGGGUGCUUGACUGUGAGACCAACAAGUCGAGCAGGUAGGAAACUAGGACAUAGUGAUCCGGUGGUUCCGUAUGGAAGGGCCAUCGCUCAAAGGAUAAAAGGUACUCCGGGAUAACAGGCUGAUCACUCCCAAGAGCUCACAUCGACGGAGUGGUUUGGCACCUCGAUGUCGGCUCGUCACAUCCUGGGGCUGGAGAAGGUCCCAAGGGUUCGGCUGUUCGCCGAUUAAAGUGGCACGCGAGCUGGGUUCAGAACGUCGCGAGACAGUUCGGUCCCUAUCUGUUGUGGGCGUAGGAAGUUUGAGAGGGGCUGACACUAGUACGAGAGGACCGUGUCGGACAAACCUCUGGUGUACCAGUUGUGACGCCAGUUGCACCGCUGGGUAGCCAAGUUUGGAAGAGAUAAGCGCUGAAAGCAUCUAAGCGCGAAACUUGCCUCAAGAUGAGACUUCCCUUAAGGGUCGUUAAAGACUAUGACGUAGAUAGGCUGCAGGUGUAAAGAUGGUAACAUCAAAGCCGAGCAGUACUAAUCACCCGUGAACUUCUUUAU